GCUUAACACAUGCAAGUCGAACGGAAAGGCCCAGCUUGCUGGGUACUCGAGUGGCGAACGGGUGAGUAACACGUGGGUGAUCUGCCCCUGACUUUGGGAUAAGCCUGGGAAACUGGGUCUAAUACCGAAUAUUCAUUUUUCCUCGCAUGGGGAUUGGUGGAAAGCUUUUGCGGUUGGGGAUGGGCCCGCGGCCUAUCAGCUUGUUGGUGGGGUAAUGGCCUACCAAGGCGACGACGGGUAGCCGACCUGAGAGGGUGAUCGGCCACACUGGGACUGAGACACGGCCCAGACUCCUACGGGAGGCAGCAGUGGGGAAUAUUGCACAAUGGGCGCAAGCCUGAUGCAGCGACGCCGCGUGAGGGAUGACGGCCUUCGGGUUGUAAACCUCUUUCAGCUCCGACGAAGCGCAAGUGACGGUAGGAGCAGAAGAAGCACCGGCCAACUACGUGCCAGCAGCCGCGGUAAUACGUAGGGUGCAAGCGUUGUCCGGAAUUACUGGGCGUAAAGAGCUCGUAGGCGGUUUGUCGCGUCGUCUGUGAAAUUCUGCAGCUUAACUGCAGGCGUGCAGGCGAUACGGGCAGACUUGAGUACUACAGGGGAGACUGGAAUUC
Molecule: ribosomal RNA, 611 nt
Filed under: Gordonia sputi
Lineage: Bacteria; Bacillati; Actinomycetota; Actinomycetes; Mycobacteriales; Gordoniaceae
Description: bacterial SSU rRNA
Rfam family: Bacterial small subunit ribosomal RNA
Source: RNAcentral